GCAUUGAUGGUCCAACGGUUAAGAUGCCUCUCUUCCAAAGAGGCGACCUGGGUUCGACUCCCAGUCAAUGCA
Molecule: transfer RNA, 72 nt
Organism: Aspergillus wentii DTO 134E9
Lineage: Eukaryota; Fungi; Ascomycota; Eurotiomycetes; Eurotiales; Aspergillaceae
Rfam family: tRNA
About the family: Transfer RNA (tRNA) molecules are approximately 80 nucleotides in length. Their secondary structure includes four short double-helical elements and three loops (D, anti-codon, and T loops).
Source: Rfam